Transfer RNA from Ovis aries (sheep), 72 nucleotides. It matches the Rfam family "tRNA". From Rfam's summary of the family: Transfer RNA (tRNA) molecules are approximately 80 nucleotides in length. Their secondary structure includes four short double-helical elements and three loops (D, anti-codon, and T loops). Lineage: Eukaryota; Metazoa; Chordata; Mammalia; Artiodactyla; Bovidae. The record is from Rfam.
UCCCUGGUAGCUUGGACAGUAAAGCGUCUGCCUACAAUGCGGGAGACCCAGGUUUGAUCCCUGGGUCGGGAA